GUGCUCAGCUUAGCAGGACUCCUGUUAACAUUGGGACACUACAGAGAAGAUUAGCAUGUCCCCUG
Molecule: small nuclear RNA, 65 nt
Organism: Panthera pardus (leopard)
Lineage: Eukaryota; Metazoa; Chordata; Mammalia; Carnivora; Felidae
Source: Ensembl